This 85-nucleotide transfer RNA is filed under the name Escherichia coli. RNAcentral's name for it is "tRNA-Leu". It matches the Rfam family "tRNA". From Rfam's summary of the family: Transfer RNA (tRNA) molecules are approximately 80 nucleotides in length. Their secondary structure includes four short double-helical elements and three loops (D, anti-codon, and T loops). RNAcentral also lists the same sequence under 130 other names. Lineage: Bacteria; Pseudomonadati; Pseudomonadota; Gammaproteobacteria; Enterobacterales; Enterobacteriaceae. The record is from RNAcentral.
GCGGAAAUGGCGGAAUUGGUAGACGCACCAGAUUUAGGUUCUGGCGCCGCAAGGUGUGAGAGUUCAAGUCUCUCUUUCCGCACCA